GAGGGUAUGGCUCAGUGGUAGAGUGCAUGCUUAGUAUGUAGGAGGACCCAGGUUCAAUCCCUAGUACCUGCG
Molecule: transfer RNA, 72 nt
Filed under: Camelus bactrianus (Bactrian camel)
Lineage: Eukaryota; Metazoa; Chordata; Mammalia; Artiodactyla; Camelidae
Also listed under: 1 other name
Rfam family: tRNA
About the family: Transfer RNA (tRNA) molecules are approximately 80 nucleotides in length. Their secondary structure includes four short double-helical elements and three loops (D, anti-codon, and T loops). Further hydrogen bonds mediate the characteristic L-shaped molecular structure. tRNAs have two regions of fundamental functional importance: the anti-codon, which is responsible for specific mRNA codon recognition, and the 3' end, to which the tRNAs corresponding amino acid is attached (by aminoacyl-tRNA synthetases). tRNAs cope with the degeneracy of the genetic code in two manners: having more than one tRNA (with a specific anti-codon) for a particular amino acid; and 'wobble' base-pairing, i.e. permitting non-standard base-pairing at the 3rd anti-codon position.
Source: Rfam by way of RNAcentral